GCCGGUCGCGGUGGCGGGCGCCUGUAAUCCCAACUAAUUGGGAGGCUGAGAUGGGGAGGAUCACUUGAGCCCAGGAGUUCUGGGCUGUAGUGCUCUAUGCCGAUCGAGUGUCCACACUAAGUUCGGCAUCAAUAUGGUGACCUCCCGGGAGCAGAGGACCACCAGGUUGCCUAAGGAGGAGUGAACCGGCCCAGGUCGGAAACAGAGCAGGUCAAAACUCCCGUGCUGAUCAGUAGUGGGAUCGCGCCUGUGAAUAGCCACUGCACUCCAGCCUGGGCAACAUAGUGAGACCCCGUCUUU
RNAcentral lists this signal recognition particle RNA (300 nucleotides) under Microcebus murinus (gray mouse lemur). Its description in RNAcentral is "Metazoan signal recognition particle RNA (ENSMICG00000044566.1)". It matches the Rfam family "Metazoan signal recognition particle RNA". Rfam says of the family: The signal recognition particle (SRP) is a universally conserved ribonucleoprotein. It is involved in the co-translational targeting of proteins to membranes. The record is from Rfam by way of RNAcentral. Lineage: Eukaryota; Metazoa; Chordata; Mammalia; Primates; Cheirogaleidae.